This 600-nucleotide ribosomal RNA is filed under the name Erwinia sp. J58. Its description in RNAcentral is "bacterial SSU rRNA". It matches the Rfam family "Bacterial small subunit ribosomal RNA", at positions 824 to 1424 of the family's 1533-position model. Lineage: Bacteria; Pseudomonadati; Pseudomonadota; Gammaproteobacteria; Enterobacterales; Erwiniaceae. The record is from RNAcentral.
UUGUGCCCUUGAGGCGUGGCUUCCGGAGCUAACGCGUUAAGUCGACCGCCUGGGGAGUACGGCCGCAAGGUUAAAACUCAAAUGAAUUGACGGGGGCCCGCACAAGCGGUGGAGCAUGUGGUUUAAUUCGAUGCAACGCGAAGAACCUUACCUGGCCUUGACAUCCACGGAAUUCGGCAGAGAUGCCUUAGUGCCUUCGGGAACCGUGAGACAGGUGCUGCAUGGCUGUCGUCAGCUCGUGUUGUGAAAUGUUGGGUUAAGUCCCGCAACGAGCGCAACCCUUAUCCUUUGUUGCCAGCGAUUCGGUCGGGAACUCAAAGGAGACUGCCGGUGAUAAACCGGAGGAAGGUGGGGAUGACGUCAAGUCAUCAUGGCCCUUACGGCCAGGGCUACACACGUGCUACAAUGGCGCAUACAAAGAGAAGCGAACUCGCGAGAGCAAGCGGACCUCAUAAAGUGCGUCGUAGUCCGGAUCGGAGUCUGCAACUCGACUCCGUGAAGUCGGAAUCGCUAGUAAUCGUAGAUCAGAAUGCUACGGUGAAUACGUUCCCGGGCCUUGUACACACCGCCCGUCACACCAUGGGAGUGGGUUGCAAAAGA